AAAUUGAAGAGUUUGAUCAUGGCUCAGAUUGAACGCUGGCGGCAGGCCUAACACAUGCAAGUCGAACGGUAGCACAGAGAGCUUGCUCUCGGGUGACGAGUGGCGGACGGGUGAGUAAUGUCUGGGAAACUGCCUGAUGGAGGGGGAUAACUACUGGAAACGGUGGCUAAUACCGCAUAACGUCGCAAGACCAAAGAGGGGGACCUUCGGGCCUCUUGCCAUCAGAUGUGCCCAGAUGGGAUUAGCUAGUUGGUGAGGUAACGGCUCACCAAGGCGACGAUCCCUAGCUGGUCUGAGAGGAUGAC
Molecule: ribosomal RNA, 305 nt
Filed under: Salmonella enterica
Lineage: Bacteria; Pseudomonadati; Pseudomonadota; Gammaproteobacteria; Enterobacterales; Enterobacteriaceae
Description: partial 16S ribosomal RNA
Rfam family: Bacterial small subunit ribosomal RNA
Source: RNAcentral